UAGGGAAUCUUCGGCAAUGGGGGCAACCCUGACCGAGCAACGCCGCGUGAGUGAAGAAGGUUUUCGGAUCGUAAAGCUCUGUUGUAAGAGAAGAACGUGUGUGAGAGUGGAAAGUUCACACAGUGACGGUAACUUACCAGAAAGGGACGGCUAACUACGUGCCAGCAGCCGCGGUAAUACGUAGUUCCCGAGCGUUGUCCGGAUUUAUUGGGGGUAAAGCGAGCGCAGGCGGUUUAAUAAGUCUGAAGUUAAAGGCAGUGGCUUAAUCAUUGUUCGCUUUGGAAACUGUUAAGCUUGAGUGCAGAAGGGGAGAGUGGAAUUCCAUGUGUAGCGGUGAAAUGCGUAGAUAUAUGGAGGAACACCGGUGGCGAACGCAGCUCUCUUGUCUGUAACUGACGCUGAGGCUCGAAAGCGUGGGGAGCAAACAGG
RNAcentral lists this ribosomal RNA (429 nucleotides) under bacterium. Its description in RNAcentral is "partial 16S ribosomal RNA". It matches the Rfam family "Bacterial small subunit ribosomal RNA", at positions 355 to 776 of the family's 1533-position model. The record is from RNAcentral.